UCUUUGAGCGACGUCUUCCUCUGAAGAACACAAUAGUACACUCUCCAUUCCUCUGAACACAACACAAUAGUACACUCUCCAUUCAGCGACGACGUUGUCUGACUAAAAUAAAACUUUUGAUUUUCCGUUGUUUCUUAAUAAUGCUUCUGAGUUUUGAUUUUUAAAGCUCGUCUCUCUUUCUCCUCAUUGAAUCUGAGCGUUCUCCCAUCACCUCAUCUUCUUAUAGAUACAUUGUUGAACUUCCAUUUGUCUCUUCUCCCCUUACCUCAUCUCCCGCACGACCUAAGAUUUACGUUUCAUUGUCUCAAACACGAUGUCUCUUCUUCCUUGAAGAAAAUCAUAGAUGCUCAAAGAUUUAUAAAUUUCAAUGUCGAUUAUUUGUGUCUACACGAUUCAUUGCGUCAAGCCUCCACUAAACCCAGAAAACCCAAGGUUCUCAAAUGGAAAAGGGGAUAUCAAUGGGAAAGGUUGCCUGAGAUAGGUGGUUGUGGUUGCCAUGGUUUUUGGUAUUCUUCUUUCUCCCAUUACUUCAGCUCUCUGUCCCUUUACUAAAUUUCAGGUUAGGUCUCCUUCACCUUCAUCUUUAUUUGCUUGAGAAAUGUUCCGAUUGCUUUCAAGGAUCAAUUACUCAAAUCGACUACUUACAGGUUCCUUAUCCUUCACCUCCAUCUCCAUUUGGUAAUUUUGCUUUGAGAUUAUUGAUCUUGUUUUUUAUCUUUUCCCCGAUCUUGUGACUGUGAUUGAUUAUUUCGAUUAUAUUGCUUUAACACAUUGACUAUUCUUUCCUAAAACUUACGGAGAGCAUGUUCAAGCCUCUUCUCAUAUAGAGUAUAGAGUGGGCAGAAUCUGAAGUGGAUGGAACUUCAGGAAGCAUUAAUAGGACAAUAUCUUUUUAUGGCAUGGUAAAUAAGGUUAUCAAAGAACCAUUGGUGUGACUACCUCCUUAGAAGCUCCCUCAAGAAGGAUCACUAGAAAGCAUGUCUAGAGGGGAGUCUUCUAUUCCAUCACCUUUAUCUUUGUUUUGCAU
Vigna unguiculata (cowpea) is the source of this 1027-nucleotide long non-coding RNA. The record is from RefSeq and is a predicted model, not a curated record. NCBI's taxonomy places the organism in Eukaryota, Viridiplantae, Streptophyta, Magnoliopsida, Fabales, Fabaceae.